UACGUAGGAGGCGAGCGUUGUCCGGAUUCACUGGGCGUAAAGGGCGCGUAGGCGGCGGCUUGAGUCCCUGCGGGAAAUCUCCCGGCUCAACCGGGAGGGUGCGCGGGAUACUGGGCGGCUUGAGGACAUCAGAGGAGAGCGGAAUCCCCGGUGUAGUGGUGAAAUGCGUAGAUAUCGGGGGGAACACCAGUGGCGAAGGCGGCUCUCUGGGGUGCACCUGACGCUGAUGCGCGAAAGCGUGGGGAGCGAACCGG
RNAcentral lists this ribosomal RNA (254 nucleotides) under uncultured bacterium. RNAcentral describes it as "partial 16S ribosomal RNA". It matches the Rfam family "Bacterial small subunit ribosomal RNA", at positions 524 to 776 of the family's 1533-position model. The record is from RNAcentral.